AAGGCUGUUUGUAAACAGAUACAAAUACAAUGCAGAAAUCACAAGAGAAGACUAUUUCAUUUAAAAUAUCCUCCACUCAAGAAGGCAAGUGAAAGUAAAGCUGAAACUAGUAUGUGUUUUAGCCAAUGGAGAAUUUGGAUAUUUGAAGAAAAGCUGGCAGUCUCUACGAAAAACUUGAACUUGCUGCGGUGGCUCACGAUAAUUGGAAAAACAGUACUGUGAGCAUACAUGUAAGGAAUAGAUUAACCAUAGCAAGGGGAUGCAUUUGUUGGUCUAAAAUUAGAGGUUUAUACUGUUGGGAAGGUAGAAAUAUUGCAUAAAGCUUCUGCACAGAAAUGUUCUAAAAGAAAUAGUGCUGUAUGUUAUGGUGGUAAAAUAUGUUCUACUUAAUUGGUAGUAAGGCAGUGUGUUAAACAGCAACUGCUGACAGGAAGUGUUUGGCUGGAUUGAAUAACUUGAAUCUGGAAAUAUUAAAUGAAUUAGCUUAGGAGGGUUCUGAAUUUGUAAUGUGGAUUUUCAGCAAUCAUUGGACAGCUGGGAAAAUUGCAAAAGAUUUGAGGGUUGGGGUGAAGGUUAAGGUUGUCUCAGCAUUUAAGAGAAGGUAAGUAGAGAGAAGUAAGCUACUCAAUGGCUGGAAGGGAGGAAUUUGACAGAAGUCCCUCUGGAAGAUAUUGUAGUAUCUGGAGGCAUUCAUCAAACACAUCCUUCUCCUCACUGCUUCCUUUUAGGAGGGAAUUACAGACUGUGAAUCUCAAUUUGAGAGCGAUACAAUGGGUAUUUAUUCUUUUGGAUGAGGAAAGUUGCUGUUAGCCCCCUGACAUGAAAAUACUUCUGCUGAUACAAGGCUUGUGUCCUUGCUUCUGCGCUUUUGUUUGAUCAGAUGGAAGAGUGCUACCAGAGGUACACACGUGCAGGGAAGGGCAGCUAACAGCACACAGAUUGCCUGUACCCAAGGUGGAUAAACUUUCUCCUCUUUCAUGGGGAAGCCUUCCUAUGGAGACAAAAAAGCAAGAGAAAGAAAUAAUUGGUAUGGAAAGUCUGUGAGACAUUUCACUUCAACACUUCUCAGCAUUACACACACCUAUAACAAAUAUGGAGCACACAGUAUGUGGGACACCUCAAGAAGAGACACAUUUUAGUAUGUGUAACCUCUUUGCAUACUGGAGCCUUCUCAUUCUGAGCACUACAUCACUUCAGACUGCAUUCCAUAGACAUACACAACUCCAAUUACUUCAAAGAAAGCAAUGACUAGAAGAGGCACUGAGCCUGCAUAUCUGUCAAAAAUGUCAAUCCAGUAACUCCCUGAACCCAGUGUAAAACACAGAGCAAUGAGGAAGCUAAUUAGACAUAUUAUACCUGAAGAAAAAAAGAUAUCUUUGUUACUGGAGUAUUGAACUUGGAUUACCUGUUGGAAGCAGUUAUGGUACCUGAUCAAGAAAUUCUUGAAGGUCACAGCUCUUCAGUUUGAGUCCAGCAAUUUUUUCUGGAUGUGAUGAAUUCAGGAAACUGAUCCAGGAGUCUUGCAGGACAACUUGUGUGUCUUCUGUGUCUAUCUGAUCCUGGUACAUGACUGAGAACAUUUGCAGGAGUGAGAGAUUUUCAAGAACAGUGAGGUGUCACAGUUACCAGAAGGUGGAUGUGGCAGCUGUCAGAAACUACAAUUUGUGCUGCACUGCAAAGUAGGAAAAAAGUUGGAAAAUAUUGCCUCCGCAUCAGGCAUAGGUGUGUAGGAAGUGUGUGCUGGAUGGGAGCUCAUUUGCAAUUCCUUGAGCUGGGACCCAAAGAGACGUACCAACGCCUCCAAGCAUCUCCUUUGGGCCAGAAGCAGCACAUGCUGUUGGUUACCUGUGGGAAGGGACCAGUCCUGCCAGCAGCCUGACUAUUUCCCGCUAAACUGUGUGCAAUUCCUUGUUUCCCACACUUUCCCUCAGAAAGGACAUGGGUUUGGGUCUCCCUUCUUUUGCACAGAUACUGAUUUUUAUGAGACCAGGAGAAGUUCCAUCAGGAUGUUUAUACCACCUGCCCAAAUGUCCAGUCAAAUUGAAAUGGUGUAAUAGAUUGAAGUUUAUUGCCAUGACCAACAACCACUGUGACCAUGAAGCCUCUUUUCUCUGGGGAAACAAAGACAGAAGUCCUGCCUCAGCCACCUCCCAGUCCUCCUACCAAUGUAUACUGAUUCUAUGUUCCUCAUUGCUUUGUCAAUAAACCUGUGCCUUGUUCUACCAUUUCUACUUUGCCUCCAAAUCUCAUAUCUGAGUCUGCUCAGCUCUGCUCUUCCAGUUCUGGAAACUUUCUCCUCUCCCUCCAGGUUGGCAGGGAGAUCAGCCUCACCAUCCCCAUCCAAGAGAGCAGAACAGAGUAGCUCUGCACUAUGCUCAGCCUUCAGCCCUGAGAGGGAGGUUGGGGAAUGCAGAAGGAUUUGCCGUCUCCACCUGGAGUGGCGCCAGGAUUCUGCAAUCACUGGUUAUUUAGAAAGGCUGGGCAGAUAAAUCUAAUCACUUAGGCUAGUGUUGUAUUGCAGUAACUUCACUACCUAUUGCUAGGAGCUG
Long non-coding RNA from Lepidothrix coronata (blue-crowned manakin), 2549 nucleotides. RefSeq lists it as uncharacterized. The record is from RefSeq and is a predicted model, not a curated record. NCBI's taxonomy places the organism in Eukaryota, Metazoa, Chordata, Aves, Passeriformes, Pipridae. The transcript has 10 exons.